AUGGCCAUUGCCGAUAGCGGGAGGGGCAAGUCGAAGCCCGCCGCCAGCACGAAGUCCGUGUCUCGGUCAUCCAUGGCCGGCCUCCAAAUUCCCGUCAGCCGCAUCACCAGGUACCUUAGGGGCGGCAAUUACGCACAAUACAUCAGUACCGGCGCCCUCGUCUACCUCGUCACCGAGGUAGACAUUCCCCCAGCUCCUCCUCUCCUCGUUUCUCUGUUCUCGCGCGCACGGUUCCUCGCGCCUGCUGGCAACACGACGCGGGACAACAAGAAGAACCGGAUCAUGCCGCGGCACAUCCAGCCAGCGAUGUGCAACGAUGAGGAGUUGAGUCAGUUGUUGUGCGCGUUCACCAUCGCCGACGACGGGCUGAUGCCCGACAUCCACACCGUGCUCCUCCCCAAGAAGGCCGACAAGGCUAAGGACGACAUCCACCGGCAAGCAUCCUAG
Molecule: ribosomal RNA, 447 nt
Filed under: Triticum aestivum (bread wheat)
Lineage: Eukaryota; Viridiplantae; Streptophyta; Magnoliopsida; Poales; Poaceae
Description: partial small subunit ribosomal RNA
Source: RNAcentral